Podarcis muralis (Common wall lizard) is the source of this 742-nucleotide non-coding RNA. The record is from RefSeq and is a predicted model, not a curated record. Lineage: Eukaryota; Metazoa; Chordata; Lepidosauria; Squamata; Lacertidae.
GUAGCUGAAUAAAAUGCAGAGGGCAACAUUUGGGUCAGCAAUUACUACUGAAUUUCACCGAAAGCUGUAUUUUGAAGCAAAAUUUGAAGCUCACGAUUAAAAGAAACACCUGGGAAUUUUGAGGGAAGCAAAGAAUUCGAGAUGGACGUGGCAGUAGGACAAUGCCCUGCCAGAUCACAGCACAUCACUUUGCCAUUCUCUACGUCAGUGUGUAUUCCGACAAUUUUCAAAUUAAACAACUUGUCCAUUGGCUGCUCUGUCCAGAUCUGAACUAAAGGCAGAGACUCUUAACCAAAGUCACAGAAUCUUCAGUGUUGCUCUGCAAGAAUGAACAAAGAAACAGAAGUACUGCCAUGUGAUAACAUCACCAGUCUUGCACCAAUAGGCCCACAAGACUUAUUUCUGGACCAUGAACUAUGGCCCCUGCAGGACAAAGCUCCCUCAAAUAUGAAGACCUUCUAAAAGUUAAGAACCAGUAGCAGCAGCAACCCUUAACAUAGAGAAAAGAAGGGAAUUGUAAGUGGUCAGUUUGAGCAAGUAAGCCCUUCGAAACAGCAGCAGGCCAGAGCAAGUCGUGUGAUAAGAUUUCCAGGUUCUUGGUCAAGGCUGUCUUCUCGUCAGCUCACCAGAGAGGACAUUACAGAUACUUGUUCUUACUGCAAACUGGCCUCGUAUGCAACAACAGCAGCAAGAAUACUUAUCGCGAAGUAUUGGAAGACACAAGAUUUACCCACACAGGAAG